UAUGUCAUCGAGUACCAGAACAUAUAGCAAGCUUUAUAUCUGCUGUUGCUAGUAUUUCCUUUUAUGGUCUCCAUCAUUACUUCCAAAUUUAUCUUGGUUUGCUCUUAUUAUUAACCGCAGCAAUUGAAAAGCUUUUGGAUGGAUGUGACACUAAAUAUUCCAUGGGAGAUGAAGUACAUCUGGGAGAUGUGUUCCUAGCACCACAGAUCCAUGCUGCCAUUAAUCGCUUCAAAGUUGAUAUG
Lolium rigidum is the source of this 242-nucleotide long non-coding RNA. RefSeq lists it as uncharacterized. The record is from RefSeq and is a predicted model, not a curated record. Lineage: Eukaryota; Viridiplantae; Streptophyta; Magnoliopsida; Poales; Poaceae. The transcript has 2 exons.